UAGGGAAUCUUCCACAAUGGACGCAAGUCUGAUGGAGCAACGCCGCGUGAGUGAAGAAGGUUUUCGGAUCGUAAAGCUCUGUUGUUGGUGAAGAAGGAUAGAGGCAGUAACUGGUCUUUAUUUGACGGUAAUCAACCAGAAAGUCACGGCUAACUACGUGCCAGCAGCCGCAGUAAUACGUAGGUGGCAAGCGUUGUCCGGAUUUAUUGGGCGUAAAGCGAGCGCAGGCGGAAGGAUAAGUCUGAUGUGAAAGCCCACGGCUCAACCGUGGAACUGCAUCGGAAACUGUCAUUCUUGAGUGCAGAAGAGGAGAGUGGAAUUCCAUGUGUAGCGGUGGAAUGCGUAGAUAUAUGGAAGAACACCAGUGGCGAAGGCGGCUCUCUGGUCUGCAACUGACGCUGAGGCUCGAAAGCAUGGGUAGCGAACAGG
Molecule: ribosomal RNA, 429 nt
Filed under: bacterium
Lineage: Bacteria
Description: partial 16S ribosomal RNA
Rfam family: Bacterial small subunit ribosomal RNA
Source: RNAcentral